GUUAAGCUAUUGAACAAACAAAUUUUGGAAACAUUAAACAAUGCUUAAGAUUCUUGCUUUUGAUAUUUACCAUAAUUUGGAGGAAGGAUGUUUUGGUUAUGCUUGAUUGUAAUAGUCUAGACUAGUUUUACGAUUGUCUGCCUGGAGAUCUUUGAUGUGCUGUCAUGUGUUUGCCAAUCUGGAAAUAUGAUAAGGAUUAUGUAUUUUACUUUAGAUGUGGGUGCUUGGUUUUCUCUACGAAGUUCAAUUUUCUGCUGUAAUAGUCUAGUCUAGUUUUACCUUUGUCUGCCUGGAGAUCUUCGAUGUGCUGUCAUGUGUUUGCCAGUCUGGAAAUAUGAUGAGGAUUAUGUAUUUUACUUGAGAUGUGAGUGCUUAGUUUUCUCUGAAAAGUUCAAUUUUCUGCUCUGGGCUGUGUGUGGAAACUGAUAUGCAUCUGAUUGCAAGACACUUUUCUAUUUAAUAUGACAGCGAGUCUUUGAAUCAUUGGUAGGGCUAGUCGGAGAUUCUAGUUGUAGUCCAUCUGCAACUCAGAUAAUGGUUUCUGGCUAAUCUGUAGAGAAGUUAUAACUUUGUGGUCAUUCAGCUUGCACACUGCUUGAUCCAUUACGAGGAACAUUAAAAGUUAUUCGGGCUGAGGGCUCUCCAUCUCCACGCUUGGAUCACACAUCUUCUUUGGUUGGAGAUCACAUGUUUCUUAUUGGAGGCCGGGGUGAUUCCUUGAACAUCCUCUGUGAUGUAUGGGUUUUCAAUAGAAAGAAUAAUGAAUGGGCAUUGUUAGAAUGUGCUGGUUGUACUUUGUCCUCCCAGGCAUCGGCAUGCUGCAGCAGUUGUAGGCUCAAACAUAUAUGUGUUAGGCGGUCUUAACAAUGAUACAAUCUUUUCAUCUUUGCAUGUUCUUGACGCAGAUAAUCUCCAAUGGAAAGAAUUAUUGGCCUUGUGCCUGACAUUUUCAUUCAAUGGUGGCAUCUGGACAACAAUGCCAAGAUUUGGCAUUACUUGAUCUGCAGCGCCGCAGUUGGAAACAUGUGAAACUCAACUCCAUGAGUAAAGAGUUGUUUGUCUGGUCUACUGCCAAUGUAGUUGGCGAUGAUCUUAUAAUGAUUGAUGGUGGUGCCACUUGCUUUGUUUUUGGAGCAAAAAUUAGUGAACCAAGGAAAAUUAACUUGUUCCUAGUCCCUAUAGUGUCCUUUGAUGAGUACCGCACGCCUGCAGAGAUAGAAUUCACCAGUGUGAAGGGGUAACAGAAGAAAAGAACAUUGAUGUUCAAGGUACAAAACUUGAGGAUUUACAGAUUUCAACUCAAAAUUCUGACUUAAAUUUUGAGGCUGAAUCACAUUCUGUAAAUGGUGGACAUCAGAUGGUUGCUUCAUACUGGGUUGUGCAAUUUGAUAGAAAGUAUGCCAAGUUAGGGAAAUUGAAGAAGUUCGGAUAGUUAGACCUCAGGAGAAUGGAAUACAUAUAGGAUGCAUAGUACAAUUUGUGGAAUUCACUCUCUAAAGUUCUACUAAGCUAAUAUUUGGUCUAUACUGAGCCAAUGUACAAUUUAAUUCAUUUAUGAAUUUAGUGAAUAUGUUCCAAAGUCAAUAUAUCAAAUUGCUGCAUCCAAAGGUACUUUUUCCUUGAUUUGUGCAGAACUUCUGACACAUGUGGAGAGAGUUAAAGUGUUUUCAGGUCAUAGUUGGGAAGUUACAGUUGAACAUACGGAGAGAGUUAAAUGGUAUUCACCCCACAUUCGUUAUCUCCUUGCAGAUGUGAGAUGCAGAAAGAUGCUGAGAUAACAUUCAGUGUGUUGUUGGUAACAAAUUAUGCUUGUUUCUGUGAAGCACAAGGCUCUGAGAGAAAAUGGGUUCUGUGACAUUGAAAGCCAACAAUUCCCCACAUGCAGUAGGCCAUAGUAAGUUGGCUUACGGGAAGAUAUAUGUUGUUCUGAAUGAAAAAAUUUGACAAUUUAAAAGAAAAGACCUAAUUUAUGAUAUAAAUUCACCAGGGAGAGUCAGAAAAUGCUGUUAGUGACUGAACUUUGUUGUCAAUUCAGCACUGGCUUCCAUAGUAAAACACACGUUUUGUUU
This is a long non-coding RNA of Mangifera indica (mango), 2069 nucleotides long. RefSeq lists it as uncharacterized. NCBI's taxonomy places the organism in Eukaryota, Viridiplantae, Streptophyta, Magnoliopsida, Sapindales, Anacardiaceae. The transcript is spliced from 2 exons. The record is from RefSeq and is a predicted model, not a curated record.